CUCUAGAGUAGCAGCAUAUGAGAACUAGAAGCAGAAGAACCAGCGCUGCCAUAUUUUUUUUAAUUGAAGAGGAAGGGCUCUCAUCUCCUGGAUUAAACAUAGAACUUUUCACCUAAUUUUGUGAAUGUCAACAUAAAUUUUUGUUUUUUAGGAGUUGGGGACAAACAUUCACAUGGUCACACGUGUGGGAAGGGCUAAAACAGCUGGUCCAGUUCCUUACUGAGUUAGAUGCUAGACAGUAGGUUCACGUCAUUUGAUUGUCCGACCCUUAGAAUUGUAGGCAUCACCACAUUUUGGUGGUAAAUCUACUUCCAAUCCUCCUGGCGUUCCAGACUUAAAAUCUUUUUGGUUUUAUGAUCUAGUGGGCAUUACAUUAUACUCGGUGGAAAAUGCUAUGAGUUUUGAGCGAUUGAGUCUUGCUUCAUCUUACCCCUAACUCUUUUCCUACACUCAUUUUCCACUAUCGAUCUGGACGGCAGAAAUCCAACCGUGGAUAUGUACAGACUAACACCGUAUAUACGCGUCAUCCUAUAAAUAUGGGCUCGCCCUGGUUGCGGAUCCCUCUCGCAUGCCAUCGAAGGGGGAGCUGAGGCAAGGAAUCUUCUUUUAUGCAGACACGUUCUCGCUGCCUCCGCCCCUCCUGUCUUCCGCUGCUUUUUUCGUCCGUCUGGUAAGAUCUUAGGACUUUUAUUGCUUUUCCCCAUAAUAUUCUCUUUCUUUUGAUCGAGGGCCAUGUAGAUCUCAAAUCCCUCUUUCUCUUUCCAUUCUUUUUCCAUUUUUUAGGGUUUUUUUCACUUGGGAUGUCAUUGAUUUUUGAUUUCGUUUGUUUUCUUGCGGUGAAGUCUGGAUCCUGGAAUUUAGGGCAUUUUGUGCUGGAUUUUGCCCUUGUUUAGGGUUUUGUUGGCGGAAUUUAGGGUUUUCAGAAAACAGAGGACCAAUAACAGAUUUUUUUUUUUAAUAGGAAGGAAUGCACUCCCAAAUUCUGGUUGAAGGUAAAUGACUCAAUGGACUACAAGAAGAGGCAAUGGGGAGAGAAUCAGGGGUCUGAGUGUAGUAGGAACAGCUUUAACCUUGUGCCAAAUUUUUCCAUGUUCCAUCAGUGAGCUUCCGUUGCAUAACAUGGACCAAAGGUUGAAGAGAUGCAGCUCUUCAAAUGCCACGGAGGCCAUGGGUGCAUGCUUGUUGAGGAAAAUUCUACCAUUCCUGUCUUUCCAAUAGCUCCAUGUAACAGCUCCAAUGAGCAUUAACACCACCAACCUAUCUGGGAAGUUGCGUCUUAUCCAAUUCAAGGAAAGCCUUGUAUAGGAUCCAUGACAUUGAAGCACCCCAAGCUUGAUGGCAUAUGGGGGUCCUAAUCAGUCCUAACACGCCAUUUCACCUUGCAUUGUUGAUAUGAGUGUCCAAAAAAUUGAGGAUCUUCAACCUCUUAUUUUAUUCUAGACUAACGCAUGACAAAACAAAGCAAGAAUUAAUGCUUUUUCUAUACUUCAAGAAUAUCGGCAAAAUUGCUUAUUGAUCAUCAUAGGAAAAAGAUAAGGCUAGCACAAUUUUGCUAGUCUGCUGGUUAUAAUGUUAAACUAUUUUGAGAGAUAAUACAAUGAAAAAGAAUGAAAAAGAUAUCGAGAGGAAACGAGAGAUGGAGAAAAUGAAAGGAGAUGGGACUAGGAUGAGAAGAAAAGCGAAUAUAUUCAAACUUAAGAAUAUGCACUAUAAAAUUGUUUGGUAACCUCCUUGUUAGGUGAGAUAAAAACUGUAAUUGAUAUUUUUGAAUUGAGCAAAGGGGUAUUACCUCAAACUAUUGAAUUGAAUUAUCCUAUCUAGUAGAUAUUCUAGAAACAGAAUGAGUAACUAUAAUGAGCGUGACUAAAUCCCUUCCCUCACAAAAACCCUUGCAAACAAAUAAUAAUAAAAUAAAUGAGAAAGGUAAGUGGAAUCUGAUAACUGACAAUAACUAGAGUAAGAGGGGUCACCAUUGGAUUGAUUAGGCUCAACUUGAGCAUCCUCUAUUUUUUAUUAAGGCCCUCUUGAAUUGGAUCACAGGAGUCUGUAAAACUUCAGCAAUUUUUUUAAAGAUUUUUAUCAGUGAUGGAAGGAAAUAAAAAAAUGGAUGGGAUGAAGUAAGAGAAGGGAUUGUACUCGGGAUGAGAGAUCGGGAGAAUUGGAUGAUUCAAUCUUUAGAGGAGAGCAAUAGGAGGAGAUCGAGACCGAGCCGAGUUGGGAGAAUGAAAGGGAGGAGAAAGAUGAGACUAUUUAAGAUACUUUUUAUUGGUCCGUCAUUCCAGAAGGUUCCUACGAUUUAUCCCAUCUUUUUCUUGAUUCUAAUACUUGACUCCCUUGGUCAACGUUACGGAUUCCUUCGUCUUGGUUUUCAAAAACAAGGUUUAAAUAAUUAAAUUAUGAUCGAGAAGAGAGAAAAUGAUAUUGAUGAGAUUGCCAAUUUACAUUAUUAGUAGAAAAUAUUUAUGGUUGAAUUAUCAUCUGACCUUGACCUACCCUUCUUUGGUACAUUACUAAAUGCCUACGUCGGAUCCGAUAUCGGCAACUUGAAAGAAAGCCAAAAGAUAUCCUCGGACAAUGAGAAUAGAAGAUUGGACAAUUGGACUAUCCGGACAAAAUGAUUCUUUGAUGUUGGCUAUAACUCGAGCUCACAUGCAUGCCGACCUUGAGGUUGUCGGGACCAUACCGAUGACAAGAGACAAAGUCUAGACCAUUAGGUCGUUAUAGAAAUAAGGGUCAUUCCUAAAAAGUCUUUCAAAAUUUUAGAUGAUUUUUUUUAAUUAUAGGCACGUGAGCUAAUAUCACAUAAUUAAUGCUCGUAAUCCACUACCUCCGAUCCUCACGAUCGUGGGCAUUGAUUCUCCACUUCUGUUAUCGAAUUUGGAGGUAAUAUAUGACUACUCUCUAUACAAAGGGGGAUACAGAAGACUCUCAUGUAAGUUUUUCUUCAAGAGAAUAGGCUCUCUCUCUCAUUUUUCUUUUUUUUCACUGUUUUUAAGCUGCUGCUGACUUAAGCAUUGGAAGAGAUCCUAUCCUUGGACAAAUACUGAACUCCAGGUCGAUAGGAGACUGACUCUAUCUGUCCAUCUUGACCCAGAGACUUGCAGCAACAUAUUAGCAUUAGAGGAAGGGCCUUGUCCAAUUUGAAGAUGAAGGAGAAAGUAAGAAUGUGCGCACAAAAACUCCGCCACCUCACAUCGCUAAACAUCUUGGUGAAGCCAAGGAGGCAUUGCUCGAUCGUCCCUUGUAGUAGGAUCCACAACCUCUGGUAACGGUGGACCCACAAAAAUUUGGCAUCCUGGUCCAAUAGAUCCUGGGAUUAACCUAUGUCGUUUAACAACUUCAAUAGGCGAUGGAGCGGUAGUAGCUCUUGGAGCUCAUUCAUGAAGCGGCUCGGCAUUUCCGGUGAUGCCUUCCCUGAAUCCGAAACUUGACCAUCCGAUUCCGUACGGACGGCCGUGACGAUUUUAUUCGGUGCCCGUAUUAUACGAGAAUUCCGUCCGAGUUCGGGUAUCGUCACCGCCACUUAGCGAUACGUUCUGCGAUCGAAUCCCGAUUUGCGGCUAAAAAUGGGAAGUAGAGCGGGUGAAACGUGGAAAGGAGGCUCCGACCUCGUGGGUUUCUAUUGGGGAGAUUUGGAUCACCAUUUAUAGGCGUCGCAAAGGUCUUUGCAAAGGUCUUUAUUGGCGACUGCCUCGAAACUAACCAGUUUGCCAAGAAGAAAAGUUUGAAUCUUCCAUCCUCAAAAAAAAGUUUGAAUCGUCCUCUUGUUGAUGGUGGGGUAAGCUUCCACAAGCUACUUGAUCCAAUUGAUGUGCUGUUUGUGUGUUUUUUCUUCGAAAUUUCUUGCUUUCUUUGGUGUAUAUGUAUAUCUCUGAACAGGAUUCCGAUACGAAAUCCCUGCCUCAGUUCUUAGUAUUUUGUGAUUUUGCUGCUAAAUUUUCGUUGCUCGUUUAUCUAAAUCAGCUGUUACUACACGAAAGAUCUAUUUUUUUCCCGGUUUCUCUCAUCUUUAUUUUAAUAUCUUCAGUGAAAUCUCCAGAACCUGUUGCAUAGAUCUUGUCAUCACCUUCGGGGUCGUGUUUUUUGGAAGUUUUAUUGUGGUUGGGAUCAAAAGUUCUUCGUUUGCAAUUAGAACCUUUUGUGAAUCCGAGGAAAAACCCCAGCUUUUGAUGCUCAAGUGAAAAGCUGAGAUUUUUUUUUUUUUUUUGAUUUAGCUUCAAAUCUUUACAACAAGUUUUAAACCCAUCUCCAAUAUCACCUAAAAUCCGAGAAAGGGAGAAUGAUUUUCGCUGCCAUGGAUCAAAUGAAAAACCGACACGAGAACUUAUUGUCGGCCGUGGUGCCCCUGAUGAAGCUUUUGUGCCUCACGGUCAUUGGCCUCAUACUUGCCCACCCAAAAACCCAAAUUGUGCCAAGAGCCACCUUCAAGCUCCUCAGCAAGCUUGUCUUUGCUCUCUUCCUUCCCUGCCUCAUCUUCGUCCACCUCGGUGAGUCGGUCACUCUUAAUGAUGUACUGCGCUGGUGGUUUGUGCUGUCAACGUGCUUAUCAGCACAGCCAUAGGCUGCGCUCUUGGUUAUAUUGUUGCAAUCAUAUGCCGGCCGCCGCCCCAAUUCUUCCGGUUUACUGUGAUCAUGACUGGAUUCGGCAACACUGGGAAUCUUCCAAUUGCCAUUGUUGGAUCGGUUUGCCAUAGCUCAGACCACCCGUUUGGACCAGACUGCCAUAGGACGGGCAUCGCCUAUGUCUCUUUUGCCCAAUGGGUUGCAGUGAUUCUUGUUUACACCUUCGUCUAUCACAUGAUAGAGCCACCUAUGCGACAUUAUGAGAUAGUCUCAGCAGAGAACGAAAGAAUGAAAAUCAAAAGUAAGGUACAUAUUUUUUGCCAAUAUUCUUGAAGUAUAGAAAAAGCAUUAAUUCUUGCUUUGUUUUGUUAUGCGUUAGUCUAGAAUAAAAUAAGAGGUUGAAGAUCCUCAAUUUUUUGGACACUCAUAUCAACAAUGCAAGGUGAAAUGGCGUGUUAGGACUGAUUAGGACCCCCAUAUGCCAUCAAGCUUGGGGUGCUUCAAUCUCAUGGAUCCUAUACAAGGCUUUCCUUGAAUUGGAUAAGACACAACUUCCCAGAUAGGUUGGUGGUGUUAAUGCUCAUUGGAGCUGUUACAUGGAGCUAUUGGAAAGACAGGAAUGGUAGAAUUUUCCUCAACAAGCAUGCACCCAUGGCCUCCGUGGCAUUUGAAGAGCUGCAUCUCUUCAACCUUUGGUCCAUGUUAUGCAACGGAAGCUCACUGAUGGAACAUGGAAAAAUUUGGCACAAGGUUAAAGCUGUUCCUACUACACUCAGACCCCUGAUUCUCUCCCCAUUGCCUCUUCUUGUAGUCCAUUGAGUCAUUUACCCUCAACCAGAAUUUGGGAGUGCAUUCCUUCUUAUUAAAAAAAAAAAUCUGUUAUCGGUCCGUAACUGCCUCUGUUUUCUGAAAACCCUAAAUUCCGCCAACAAAACCCUAAACAAGGGCAAAAUCCAGCGCAAAAUGCCCUAAAUUCCAGGAUCUAGACUUCACCGCAAGAAAACAAACGAAAUCAAAAAUCAAUGACAUCCCAAGCAAAAAAAACCCUAAAAAAUGGAAAAAGAAUGGAAAAAGAAAGAGGGAUUUGAGAUCUACAUGGCCCUCGAUCAAAAGAAAGAGAAUAUUACGGGGAAAAGCAAUAAAAGCCCCAAGAUCUUACCAGACGGACGAAAAAAGCAGCGGAAGACAGGAGGGGCGGAGGCAGCGAGAACGCGUUUGCAGAAAAGAAGAUUCCUUGCCCCAGCUCCCCCUUCGAUGGCGUGCGAGAGGGACCGCAACCAGGGCGAGCCCAUAUUUAUAGGGUGAUGCGUAUAUACGGUGUUAGUCUGUACAUAUCCACGGUUGGAUUUCUGCCAUCCAAAUCUAUGGUGGAAAAUGAGUUAGGAAAGGAGUUAGGUGGGAGGGGUAAGAUGAAGCAAGACUCAAUCGCUCAAGACUCAUAGCAUUUUCCACCAAGUAUAAUGUAAUGCCCACUAGAUCAUAUAACCAAAAAGAUUUUAAGUCUGGAACGCCAGGAGGAUUGGAAGCUAUCUUUCUAAAGAAAAACGAGUUGUGGUGAUGACUUUUCACCUAAUUUUGUGAAUGUCAACAUAAAUUUUUGUUUUUUAGGAGUUGGGGACAAACAUUCACAUGGUCACACGUGUGGGAAGGGCUAAAACAGCUGGUCCAGUUCCUUACUGUGUUAGAUGCUAGGCAGUAGGUUCAUGUCAUUUGAUUGAAGGAUGAGACUGAAGUCCUAAUUCGGAGAUGCUACUUUGGUAGAUAUGUUUGGGAGCGGAAGUCGAGUAUCAGAAUCAUAGGAGAGAUGGGACGAAUGGUAGGAACCUUCUGGAAUGGCAGAUCAAUAAAAAGGAAGUAUCUUAAAUACUUUUGUUUUUCUUCUCCCUUUCGUUCCCCCAACUCAGCUUGGUCUCGGUCUUCUCGUGUUGCUUUUGUCUAAAGAUUGAAUCAUCCGGUUCUCUCGAUCUCUCGCCCCAAAUAUGAUGUUUUCUCCUACUUCAUCCUAUUCAUUUUUUUCUUUCAUUCCAUCAUU
Molecule: long non-coding RNA, 6595 nt
Filed under: Elaeis guineensis (African oil palm)
Lineage: Eukaryota; Viridiplantae; Streptophyta; Magnoliopsida; Arecales; Arecaceae
Description: long non-coding RNA (EGUI_LNC006920)
Source: RNAcentral